Molecule: long non-coding RNA, 399 nt
Filed under: Salmo salar (Atlantic salmon)
Lineage: Eukaryota; Metazoa; Chordata; Actinopteri; Salmoniformes; Salmonidae
Description: lncRNA (ENSSSAG00000110777.1)
Source: RNAcentral
CUACACUCGAUCCCUCCGAUGUCAACAACUACAGACCUAUCUGCUGCCUUUGAUACCGUGAACCAUCAGAUCCUCCUCUCCACCCUCUCCGAGCUGGGCAUCUCCGGCACCGCGCACGCUUGGAUUGCGUCCUACCUGACAGGUCGCUCCUACCAGGUGGCGAAUCGCAUCUCUGCAUGUCUGGCAGACAUAUCAGUGUGGAUGACGGAUCACCACCUCAAGCUGAACCUCGGCAAGACGGAGCUGCUCUUCCUCCCGGGGAAGGACUGCCCGUUCCAUGAUCUCGCCAUCACGGUUGACAACUCCCUUGUGUCCUCCUCCCAGAGUGCUAAGAGCCUUGGCGUGACCCUGGACAACACCCUGUCGUUCUCCACCAACAUCAAGGCGGUGACCCGAUCC